Molecule: ribosomal RNA, 470 nt
Filed under: Streptococcus mitis
Lineage: Bacteria; Bacillati; Bacillota; Bacilli; Lactobacillales; Streptococcaceae
Description: bacterial SSU rRNA
Rfam family: Bacterial small subunit ribosomal RNA
Source: RNAcentral
GACGAACGCUGGCGGCGUGCCUAAUACAUGCAAGUAGAACGCUGAAGGAGGAGCUUGCUUCUCUGGAUGAGUUGCGAACGGGUGAGUAACGCGUAGGUAACCUGCCUGGUAGCGGGGGAUAACUAUUGGAAACGAUAGCUAAUACCGCAUAAGAGUAGAUGUUGCAUGACAUUUGCUUAAAAGGUGCAAUUGCAUCACUACCAGAUGGACCUGCGUUGUAUUAGCUAGUUGGUGAGGUAACGGCUCACCAAGGCAACGAUACAUAGCCGACCUGAGAGGGUGAUCGGCCACACUGGGACUGAGACACGGCCCAGACUCCUACGGGAGGCAGCAGUAGGGAAUCUUCGGCAAUGGACGGAAGUCUGACCGAGCAACGCCGCGUGAGUGAAGAAGGUUUUCGGAUCGUAAAGCUCUGUUGUAAGAGAAGAACGAGUGUGAGAGUGGAAAGUUCACACUGGGACGGUAUCUAC